Pundamilia nyererei is the source of this 1425-nucleotide long non-coding RNA. RefSeq lists it as uncharacterized. NCBI's taxonomy places the organism in Eukaryota, Metazoa, Chordata, Actinopteri, Cichliformes, Cichlidae. The transcript is spliced from 3 exons. The record is from RefSeq and is a predicted model, not a curated record.
GCAGAGAGCAGCGGACCUCUGUGAGAGCAGUUUUUGUCAGAGAGGCAGAGACGCCGAAGCAGCAUCAGCGCCGGGCGUACGUGGAGCCUUGGAGCAUCACUGGGGAGAGCGCACACAUCCACCACAAAGAGCAGGCUGAAAUAACGCGACGACACUUGAACGAUUAUUUUAUAAACGCGUCCUCUUACUGAUUUUUAUUUUUAUUAUCUUUGUGUUGGUUUUAUUUUCAUUCUUAUACUGGAGGAGGCGAAAAAACAACCGAGCAAAGCUUCACUGCGGCUAAUCAAUUUCCUUUUUCCAGACCUGGGAAUUACAAUGAAACAUGUAGGUGACACAUUUCCAUUCACUAUCCGCGAAUCACAAUAGGGAUCCCAGCGGAGGCGACAAAGAAGGAAGCAGGGGAAAAUGGUGACGGGUGCCGCAUCUAUAGGAUCAGCAUCCUCCUCUCCGUGGAGCCCCUGCGUAAAAGAAAAAUCAGUGUGAAAGCCGGUGAAGAAGUGGACGCGAACCUGUGAGAGACGGGAAGACUUGAAGAAACUGAGUAAAGGAUCUGAUCCGGGCCGUCCCUGUGACCAAGUGGAGGUUUUCCUGGAGGACUUUCUCAGCUGUUUUCAGAGCCGAGGCUCUGAACACUUCCUGCUCCUUUUCCACUCUUUUUAUUUUUAUGUGGUUGGAAUCACGAUUUCUGACUGCUCUUUUGUUCCAAUCACGACCAAAACCAGGUGCCAAACCGACUGUGUCAAGAGAAGAAGCAAAAAAAUCUACAACUCUUCAUAUAAAGAGUUUAUUUAGUCACCCAGCUUUGGAUACAUCACCCACAAAUACAUUAAAACAUCCAACGCCCCAUUAAAACCACAUUGAAUUUCAAGAUAACGUCUGUAAAAGUUUAUAUAUCCAUUCCGUUUGGUCGGUGUUUGCUGCUUUUAAUGUUAGAACUUCGUGAUUUUUCUCACUGGGGCGGCGAUCAGUGCAUUAUUGGUUCAAAGUGCUUUAUAGACAAAUCCUCCAGCUGUCGGUCUGCUCAUGGUUAUGCAUAGCAGAGGAGGCGUGUGGUAAGCUGUGAUAACUCUGACGGCGUUUGACUGACAGGCAACACGAGCCACGUCAAACAGAUAAACAGAGGCAACACCACCGCCACCGCUGCUGCUAUCUCAAAGGCUCGGAGGUACGCCGUCGUUUCAGUCUGCGCUGUGAAACACUGUUGACACUUUGCCUAUCUCCUUCUUCCAGUCGCUUCUACGAGAGAGGCCUCUCGCCCUUUUGUCGUCUUCUGUUUCUUCCACACGUGGCUCUUGAUUACGCUGCGCCGAACAACCUAAAAAGCCCCCUUUAUCUACUCCCAGUGACCUCUUACACCUUUUUUGCGUUCUUCCUUUUAUUCUAUUAAAAACAUGCAAUUUAAAACCUUUCACUGUACUUUCAUUU